Molecule: transfer RNA, 635 nt
Filed under: uncultured cyanobacterium
Lineage: Bacteria; Bacillati; Cyanobacteriota
Description: partial 16S-23S intergenic spacer
Rfam family: tRNA (bases 178-251)
Source: RNAcentral
AGACAACAACUGAUCGUGAUGUCUGAGUUAUUGAUACUUAGGCCAUGAUCCUGUCACCUUAGGUCGAUCGGUACCUCAAGUUGAGAAUCAAAGAAAAGCUGAUUAAUCAGCUUGGAGAUUGAUGAUUGAUUUUAGUUCCUAAACUUGUCUAGGUCACACCCCGCAAGGGUUACUCCUGGGCCAUUAGCUCAGGUGGUUAGAGCGCACCCCUGAUAAGGGUGAGGUCCCUGGUUCAAGUCCAGGAUGGCCCAUUCGGUGUUGGGGGUUUAGCUCAGUUGGUAGAGCGCCUGCUUUGCAAGCAGGAUGUCAGCGGUUCGAGUCCGCUUACCUCCACUGAAAACUACCCUGAUAACUAAAUCAGGAGAAAAUUGGUAAAUGUGACUUAGAAUUGUCUAUUGAAAAGAACCUAGCUUCUUAUCAUCUUUUAAAGUUGAUAAUAUGCUGGGCUCACAUGGAUUUAUCCAUGAGAAUUCAGUAGAACCUUGAAAACUGCAUAGAUUGAAAGAAUAAAGCAUCUCAUGGAUGCAUAGUUCUUUUUGAUUUUUUAGAUUCAAUUUCUAAAUCUUCAAUUUAAGAACUCAUGUUUAAUUCUUGAGUAAUAGCCGAGCACAAUUGAUUUUGUGUUUGUAUUUAAA